RNAcentral lists this ribosomal RNA (468 nucleotides) under uncultured bacterium. RNAcentral describes it as "partial 16S ribosomal RNA". It matches the Rfam family "Bacterial small subunit ribosomal RNA", at positions 28 to 507 of the family's 1533-position model. The record is from RNAcentral.
GACGAACGCUGGCGGCGUGCUUAACACAUGCAAGUCGAACGGAAAGGCCCUGCUUUUGUGGGGUGCUCGAUUGGCGAACGGGUGAGUAACACGUGAGUAACCUGCCCUUGACUUUGUGAUAACUUCAGGAAACUGGGGCUAAUACCGGAUAGGAUCUCCUGCUGCGUGUGGGUGAUUAGAAAGUUUCGGCUGUUGGGGAUGGACUAGCGGGUUAUCAGCUUGUUGGUGUGGUAGGGGCUUACCAAGGCUGUGACGGGUAGCCGGCCUGAGAGGGUGACCGGCCACAUUGCGACUGAGAUACGGACCAGAAUCCUACGGGAGGCAGUAGUGGGGAAUAUUGCACAAUGGGCGGACGCCUGAGGCAGAAACGUCGCGUGCGGGAUGACGGCUUACGAGUUGUAAACAGAUUUCGCCUGUGAUGAAGAGUGAGUGACGGUAAUGGGUAAAGAAGCAACGGCUAACUACGUG